RNAcentral lists this long non-coding RNA (1423 nucleotides) under Vombatus ursinus (common wombat). Its description in RNAcentral is "lncRNA (ENSVURG00010014128.1)". The record is from RNAcentral. Lineage: Eukaryota; Metazoa; Chordata; Mammalia; Diprotodontia; Vombatidae.
AUGGCCCUCGUGAAGGAUGGAGUAGCUGCACACCUGGCAGAUUUUCUCAUUGUCUUCUCUACAGAAAAAGCUCAAGUUUUCCUGGUGCUUGGCACACCACCCCUCUCGGAUGGACUGGGGCUCCUCAAGGCAUGGCAUCAGCUGCUUGGCCAGCUGUACCAUGUUCUGCAUCUUCCAGUUGGAUCAUUGAAGAAGCCUCCACAGACUGGGCAGGUCAGAAGGUCCCGCAUGCCCUUGGACAGUCUCCAUGCAGUCUGUGCUCCUACUGGAAAAGAAGCCACAAUAAGAAUGAGAAUCAGCUCCACUUCCCUCAAUUCAAAGCCCAGGGAUAGGGCAGAGUGCAUGAGCCCCGCUGCCCACAGCCAGAGAGUGGGGCUCAAGGAAGACCACACACAUGCAGCACACCUAGGAACCUCUCAGUAGGAAGAAGGGGAUUCCAACAGGGAGGUGAAGUGCUGAGAUUAAAGAAAAGGGAAGAUCAGCUAGGCCAAGCCCUUCAGGAUUCAGAAGGAGAAGAUCGAGAUGGACCCCAUGGAGGUGACUUCCCUAAAGGCCUCCCUACACCUCAGAUAGCACGAGCUCCUGAUGGCCAGUUUUUCAUACAGCCAGCGCCCCAGUGCAGUCCUGGUGUUGAGGGCCAGCCCUGGGAUGGAAGUGCCCAGGUUCGAGGGACAAACAUUUGGUGGGUAUGUUUAGGCAGAAGAACUGCCUGUGUCUGAAGGGUGGCAGAAGGGUGGUGGUUCUUGACCUCUGUCAGGCUCAAGACAGUCUUUCUUUCCAGGUCCACAAGUCCAUUCCACAAACACAGAUGAAACACUGAACUCCAGAGUUCAGCUAAGAUGGGACCAAGACACUCGGGUCUUAGAGUGAGUCUAAGGCUGGGAACCAGAGAAGGGCCUAAAGCACAGGAAAUUCUCCCUGCAGGUACUCACCUUCACUGACAGGGUCCCUCCUCUUCUUCAUUUCCUUCAAAGGCUGGGUUUCUCAGCUUCUCUGCUGUGCUGCCUCUGCCAGGUUCUAGCUCCAGGAAGGUCUGCCUCUCAGGCUCUGGCUCCCCUGAAAUUUCUAUCAGCCCCUGACCACAGAGAUUCAGACCUGCGGGAAGUAUGAACUCUGGAAAAUCACACCUUCCCAGAAUCUCAGAGUUGGAUUCCCUAUGGACCUUAGCUGAAACCCAAACCCCAGAACAAAUACCACUCCAACCUCCUUCAGAGGGAGCUAUCCAGCCUUUCCUUCAGGUCUUCCUGUGAACUAGACUCACUAUCUCCUGGGGCAAUCUUUUCUGCUUUGGAAACAUCUCUUUUUAGAAAAUCUUCUCCACCUGGAGUUUAAGUAUCUUUUUAUCACCUCCAAUCUGGCUCCUAAUUCUCCCAAUCAAAGAGAACAGUCCUAUCUCUCUUUCUCCUGAUGGACAACAAGAACA